GAGAGCCGGAUGAGGGGAGACCUUCACGUCCAGUUCGGAGGGCGGAAAUACCCCGACCCUGC
Molecule: non-coding RNA, 62 nt
Organism: Ipomoea nil (Japanese morning glory)
Lineage: Eukaryota; Viridiplantae; Streptophyta; Magnoliopsida; Solanales; Convolvulaceae
Source: Rfam